Molecule: ribosomal RNA, 491 nt
Filed under: uncultured bacterium
Lineage: Bacteria
Description: partial 16S ribosomal RNA
Rfam family: Bacterial small subunit ribosomal RNA
Source: RNAcentral
GAUGAACGCUGGCUACAGGCUUAACACGUGCAAGUCGAGGGGAAACGACGGGGAAGCUUGCUUCCCCGGGCGUCGACCGGCGCACGGGUGAGUAACGCGUAUCCAACCUGCCUCUGACUGAGGGAUAACCCGUCGAAAGUCGGCCUAAUACCUCAUGGCAUCGUCUGCGGGCAUCCAACGACGAUUAAAGAUUUCAUCGGUCAGGGAUGGGGAUGCGUCUGAUUAGCUUGUUGGCGGGGUAACGGCCCACCAAGGCUACGAUCAGUAGGGGUUCUGAGAGGAAGGUCCCCCACAUUGGAACUGAGACACGGUCCAAACUCCUACGGGAGGCAGCAGUGAGGAAUAUUGGUCAAUGGGCGGGAGCCUGAACCAGCCAAGUAGCGUGCAGGAUGACGGCCCUAUGGGUUGUAAACUGCUUUUAUGCGGGGAUAAAGUGAGGGACGUGUCCUUCAUUGCAGGUACCGCAUGAAUAAGGACCGGCUAAUUCCGUG